GCCCAGACUCCUACGGGAGGCAGCAGUGGGGAAUAUUGCACAAUGGGGGAAACCCUGAUGCAGCGACGCCGCGUGAGCGAUGAAGUAUUUCGGUAUGUAAAGCUCUAUCAGCAGGGAAGAAGAUGACGGUACCUGACUAAGAAGCCCCGGCUAACUACGUGCCAGCAGCCGCGGUAAUACGUAGGGGGCAAGCGUUAUCCGGAUUUACUGGGUGUAAAGGGAGCGUAGACGGCGAUGCAAGCCAGAUGUGAAAGCCCGGGGCUCAACCCCGGGACUGCAUUUGGAACUGUGUGGCUGGAGUGUCGGAGAGGCAGGCGGAAUUCCUAGUGUAGCGGUGAAAUGCGUAGAUAUUAGGAGGAACACCAGUGGCGAAGGCGGCCUGCUGGACGAUGACUGACGUUGAGGCUCGAAAGCGUGGGGAGCAAACAGGAUUAGAUACCCCAGUAA
This 447-nucleotide ribosomal RNA is filed under the name uncultured bacterium. RNAcentral's name for it is "bacterial SSU rRNA". It matches the Rfam family "Bacterial small subunit ribosomal RNA", at positions 329 to 793 of the family's 1533-position model. The record is from RNAcentral.